Molecule: transfer RNA, 87 nt
Filed under: Clostridia bacterium
Lineage: Bacteria; Bacillati; Bacillota; Clostridia
Description: tRNA-Leu
Rfam family: tRNA
About the family: Transfer RNA (tRNA) molecules are approximately 80 nucleotides in length. Their secondary structure includes four short double-helical elements and three loops (D, anti-codon, and T loops).
Source: RNAcentral
GCGGAUAUGGCGGAAUUGGUAGACGCGCAUGGUUCAGGUCCAUGUAAACGCAAGUUUUUGCAGGUUCAAGUCCUGUUAUCCGUACCA